RNAcentral lists this long non-coding RNA (737 nucleotides) under Triticum aestivum (bread wheat). RNAcentral's name for it is "long non-coding RNA (TAES_LNC010797)". The record is from RNAcentral. Lineage: Eukaryota; Viridiplantae; Streptophyta; Magnoliopsida; Poales; Poaceae.
GUUGAUGUAGUUGCAGCACGGCUACCUCAAGACUGUAAAUGUGGUGCCAUGGUCGGGGUUGAUGCGCUCGAGCAAGGUAAGCAUCAUGGCCUCGUCGGGUCUGCGAGAAUAAGAAAAGUAUUAGCUAUAUUUCCUAGUAGGACUAGCUAGCAUCCAGAGCAUGCAUUGACUGGACACAUAUUCCCUCUAACAAAAUGACAAGAGUAUCAUCAGGAUCAUUACCUUCCCUCUUGCUAAAGUAGCAAUGUCCGUUCUUUCUGCUCCAUGGCUGGCCUAAACAAAACCGCCUUGAAGAAUAGAAAGAAGUCUCAGGUUUAUCAACCACAGCAAAACAACAGUGUGACCUAAAGAAGAAGAAUAGAAAGAGGUCUCAGGUUUAUCAAGCAUAGCAAAACAACAGUGUGACCAUCAGUCAUAGAACUAAAUAUAAAACAAAAGAGGUCUCAGGUUUACACUCUAAAGGAAGAGCUAGUUAUCCAUGAUGUCUCAGGCUUAAACAAAAGAUCAAGAUCACAAUUUUAACAAGAGAUAUGUAGUCAGUCCAAUUGAACAAGAUCUGGACAGUAGCAUUAUGAGUAUUUAAGUGGAGAUGUAGCAGGCAAUCAAAUGAAGCAACUUAAUUGUUUGCAUGGCAUUCACCAUAGUAGAUAGUACUAACCCCAGUACACAUGCAUGCAGAAAUGAUUUGCUCAAACAAUGGCUAACUGAAUUCACAAUGAAGGAAAUUUGGACUCAAG